Molecule: ribosomal RNA, 399 nt
Filed under: uncultured bacterium
Lineage: Bacteria
Description: bacterial SSU rRNA
Rfam family: Bacterial small subunit ribosomal RNA
Source: RNAcentral
AUUGAACGCUGGCGGCAUGCCUUACACAUGCAAGUCGAACGGCAGCACGGGAGCUUGCUCCUGGUGGCGAGUGGCGAACGGGUGAGUAAUACAUCGGAACGUACCCUGAAGUGGGGGAUAACGUAGCGAAAGUUACGCUAAUACCGCAUAUUCUGUGAGCAGGAAAGAGGGGGAUCGCAAGACCUCUUGCUUUAGGAGCGGCCGAUGACGGAUUAGCUAGUUGGUGAGGUAAAGGCUCACCAAGGCGACGAUCCGUAGCGGGUCUGAGAGGAUGAUCCGCCACACUGGGACUGAGACACGGCCCAGACUCCUACGGGAGGCAGCAGUGGGGAAUUUUGGACAAUGGGCGCAAGCCUGAUCCAGCCAUGCCGCGUGAGUGAAGAAGGCCUCGGUUGUAAG